RNAcentral lists this ribosomal RNA (1110 nucleotides) under Aphanothece stagnina H5. RNAcentral's name for it is "bacterial SSU rRNA". It matches the Rfam family "Bacterial small subunit ribosomal RNA", at positions 355 to 1482 of the family's 1533-position model. Lineage: Bacteria; Bacillati; Cyanobacteriota; Cyanophyceae; Chroococcales; Aphanothecaceae. The record is from RNAcentral.
UGGGGAAUUUUCCGCAAUGGGCGAAAGCCUGACGGAGCAAUACCGCGUGAGGGAGGAAGGCUCUUGGGUUGUAAACCUCUUUUCUCUGGGAAGAAAAAAAUGACGGUACCAGAGGAAUAAGCAUCGGCUAACUCCGUGCCAGCAGCCGCGGUAAUACGGAGGAUGCAAGCGUUAUCCGGAAUCAUUGGGCGUAAAGCGUCCGUAGGUGGUUUUUCAAGUCUGCUGUCAAAGCCUGGGGCUUAACCCCAGAUAGGCAGUGGAAACUGGGAGACUAGAGUUCGGUAGGGGUAGCGGGAAUUCCCAGUGUAGCGGUGAAAUGCGUAGAUAUUGGGAAGAACAUCGGUGGCGAAGGCGCGCUACUGGGCCGAAACUGACACUCACAGGACGAAAGCUAGGGGAGCGAAAGGGAUUAGAUACCCCUGUAGUCCUAGCUGUAAACGAUGGAAACUAGGUGUGGCUUGUAUCGACCCGAGCCGUGCCGAAGCUAACGCGUUAAGUUUCCCGCCUGGGGAGUACGCACGCAAGUGUGAAACUCAAAGGAAUUGACGGGGGCCCGCACAAGCGGUGGAGUAUGUGGUUUAAUUCGAUGCAACGCGAAGAACCUUACCAGGGCUUGACAUGUCGCGAAUCUUCCAGAAAUGGGAGAGUGCCUUCGGGAGCGCGAACACAGGUGGUGCAUGGCUGUCGUCAGCUCGUGUCGUGAGAUGUUGGGUUAGGUCCCGCAACGAGCGCAACCCUCGUUUUUAGUUGCCAUCAUUAAGUUGGGCACUCUAGAGAGACUGCCGGUGACAAACCGGAGGAAGGUGAGGAUGACGUCAAGUCAGCGUGCCCCUUACGCCCUGGGCUACACACGUACUACAAUGGUUGGGACAACGGGUAGCGACCCCGCGAGGGCAAGCGAAUCUCAUCAAACCCAGCCUCAGUUCAGAUUGCAGGCUGCAACUCGCCUGCAUGAAGGAGGAAUCGCUAGUAAUCGCAGGUCAGCAUACUGCGGUGAAUUCGUUCCCGGGCCUUGUACACACCGCCCGUCACACCAUGGAAGCUGGCCACACCCGAAGUCGUUACCCUAACCGGAGGGGGACGCCGAAGGUAGGGCUAGUGACUGGGGUG